Homo sapiens (human) is the source of this 1060-nucleotide long non-coding RNA. NCBI's taxonomy places the organism in Eukaryota, Metazoa, Chordata, Mammalia, Primates, Hominidae. The record is from Ensembl.
AGUAGAGAGGAGGUUUCACCGUGUUAGCCAGGAUGGUCUCAAUCUCCUGACCUCGUGAUCCGCCCGCCUCGGCCUCUCAAAGUGCUGGGAUUACACGCGUGAGCCACCGCGCCUGGCCUGAAGAAAGUUAAAAGAAAAGCUUUUUGAAUGAAUCACUUCUCAUCUUCUCCGAAGUUGGAAGCAUCAAGAAUCUAAAUAAGCAUUUAUGAUGGCUGGCAUGAAUAUGUAACUUUCAAUCAUGGUCCCAAUUUAGUCAAUUCUGCUACAGCACAUGCCCAGGAAAGAUGAUGGAUCUUCAUUAAUUUAAAUGAAUCAUAGACAGGUGAAGACAGAACAAGAAAACAAACCAAGAAUUUCCCCUCACCAGCCACCAGCUCUGCCAGCAACUUGAUCUUAGACUUCCCAGCCUCCGUAACGUCUUCCUCCUAAAAACCUGUAACCUCAAUCUAAUCAUGAGAAAAGACAUCAGGCAAAUCCCAACUGAGGGAGAUUUUACAUAGUACCUGAGCAGUACUCCUCAAAACUGUCAAGGUCAUCAAAAACAAAGAAGUAUGAAAAACUGUCACAGCCAAGAGGAACUUAAGGAAACAUAAUAAUUAAAGCCUCUGCUUAUAAUCUGUCAUGGAUUGGAAAACUAGAAAAAACAGUUUACAGAGUAUAACAAACUUUGGAGGAGUUAAUCGACUCUAAGUAAAAGAGUAUCUAGCACGGCUGUGGAACAAAGGAGAGACUCACAAACUGUUGAAAGAAUAAAUGAAUGAAUGAAUUCUGUUCAUGAGCUUUAAUAAAACAGCUCUGAGUAGUAACAGUGGAUCAAAUUUAGGCUUCUUGAUGCAGGCAUGGUGUAGAUUACUACUUCUGUAUUGUCCCAGGAGCUCAGCACAUUCCUGCAGAGAUGAUAGGAGCUCAUCUGAUACUUGUCAGCUUUGAAUAAACUCCAGUCCCCAAGAGAGAGAAUGAGAAUCACCGGAAUACGAAACUUCCCUGUUGGACUUCCCAACAUUCUUGAAUGCACCAAGAUAGCCUCUUGCUGUGAGAUUAAUAAAUGAAUAAAUGCCUC